RNAcentral lists this ribosomal RNA (576 nucleotides) under Triticum aestivum (bread wheat). Its description in RNAcentral is "partial small subunit ribosomal RNA". The record is from RNAcentral. Lineage: Eukaryota; Viridiplantae; Streptophyta; Magnoliopsida; Poales; Poaceae.
UUGAUUGAUGAUUCCACUAGAUUCUGUUAUGUGUAUUUGUUAAAUACAAAGGAUGAGGCUCUACACUACUUUAAAAUCUAUAAGGCUGAAGUUGAGAACCAACUUGAGAAGAAAAUAAAACGAGUCCGGUCUGAUCGUGGUGGAGAGUACUUUUCUAGUGAGUUUGAUUUAUUCUGUGCGGAACAUGGUAUUAUUCAUGAGAGGACGCCUCCCUAUUCACCCCAGUCAAAUGGGGUUGUCGAACAGAAAAACCAUACUCUAACUGAUUUGGCUAACUCCAUGUUAGAUACAUCGGGUUUAUCCAAGGCAUGGUGGGGGGAGGCUAUAUUAACAUCAUGUCAUGUCCUGAAUAAAGUUCCCGCAAAGGAUAAUGAGACUACUCCCUAUGAGAAAUGGGAAAAGAAAAUAACUACACUCUCUUACUUGCGCACUUGGGGCUGUUUGGCGAAAGUCAAUGUGCCGAUCCCCAAAAAGCGUAAGUUUGGUCCGAAGACCGUGGACUGCGUUAAUUUGGGCUACGCUAAGAAUAGUGUUGGCUAUAGAUUUCUAGUAGUGAAAUCUGAGGUACCUGACUAG